Molecule: long non-coding RNA, 177 nt
Organism: Polypterus senegalus (gray bichir)
Lineage: Eukaryota; Metazoa; Chordata; Cladistia; Polypteriformes; Polypteridae
Exons: 3
Source: RefSeq, a predicted model, not a curated record
GAAUUUUAACAGUUGGAUAAACACUGAUUAAGUUAAACUGAAAAGAAAAACAUUAUUACACAUUGAAUUAUUUGAAGCAAAAUAAAGAUUUUCUAAAAUGAAAGCAAGUUUAUUGGUCCUACUUAUGAUAGCAUACUCAACAUGGAGCUGCUGUAAUGGAAACAACAAUAAUCAGGG